GCUACCACGACUCUCGAAUCUGUGGUAGAGCGUCCGACCGGUCUUCGUAAGGUCACAGGUUCGACUCCUGUUGGGACAACU
Non-coding RNA from Desmophyllum pertusum, 81 nucleotides. The record is from the annotation of a GenBank genome assembly. Lineage: Eukaryota; Metazoa; Cnidaria; Anthozoa; Scleractinia; Caryophylliidae.